GGAAUUUAUGUUGUUUAUCAUCCAGAAAACAAGUUUGAAAUUGGGGUUAAGGGCAGAGGAAAUUUUUGUGCCCAAGUGAUUUAAGUAAACAAAGUCUAAAAUAGGCAGAUUUGAGCCUCUUCAGCAAAGAUUAAAUAAAUUCACUGCAUUUCCUUCCAGUCAUGAGAAAUCCCUGAACAACACCCUCUCCUUUAUCUCAAACCCUCUGAAAAAAAGUUGUCACGUAGAUCAGACAUCUAUGUGAAAAAAAAAAUCAAUGGUGAGGUAUUCAGAUGAAAAAUGUAAAUUAAGAUACCAUUUAAUAUUGAUGAAAGCAGGUUGGUGUAUUAUUGCUGGAGAAAAAAUAAGAAAAAUAAUAAGCCCUAGGAGCAUGGCAGGAUGGAAAGAGCAUUGAUUAGACUGUGGAAGACUUGGAUUGUGAGCUUGUUGCUGCCACUAGCUGAUUGCAGAGGUUCCAGAGACGCACUGAAUGUGGAGAACUCAGAAAUCCUAGAGAUAUAAUACAAAAAGAAACUGAAUCUCUGAAUGACUGUCUCAGAGGCUUCUCACCUAUGAGGAACACCUGCACCAACUAUUGUAUGAAUAAGGAAUCAAGCAAAUUGCUAUCAUAAAGCCACUAUAAUGUUUGGGUUCAUUUGUUAUACCAGCUAGCAUUACCCUAAACAUACUCAUCCAAUGCUCAUGCCUAAGCUUAAAAAUAAGGCAGCUUUACUGAUAUAUAUGUAAAUCAUAUGUCACAAUUGUAUAAUGCACUGAUUUUUAGGACAUUCACAUAAUCAUACCUUACCACUAUCCAAUUCUAAGACAUUUUAAUUACUCCUCAAAGAAAUCUCAUAACCAUUGACAAUCUCUCCCUAUUUCCCCUUAACCAUCCCAGCCUUAUGCAUCCACUAAUCUACUUUCUGUCUCUAAGGAUUUGCCUAUUCUGGACAUUUCCUGUAAGUGGAAUAAUGCAAUAUGUGAUCUUUUCUGAAUUGCUACUUCAGCUUGGCACAACAUUUUAAAAGUUCACACAUUUUAUAGUGUGUCUUACCACUUCAUUUCUUUGCAUUGCUUAUAAUAUUCCAUUGCAUGGAUAUAUUACAUUGUAUUCACAUAUGUCCAUUCAUUAUUUAAUGAUGCAUACCCAAAUUUUAUUAUGCUUAAAAUAUCCUAGAACCAUACUGAAAAGCAGACACAUUUAUAUAGAAGAUAUAUAUUCAAGGUCCUGUGGGUUGCAACUCUCCAGCUUUUAUCACAAAUGGUGACUUUAACUUAAAAAUCACUCAGGAAACCUGAAACAAUUAUCAGAUUAAUAAUAUACAAAAUCCUCAAGAGUGAAAAUAAACAAAAGAGAAACAAAAGGAAAGUACAAGGUUUCAAACUUUUCAAUUCAUGAAUUAAGGAAAAAAUAAUGCACUAUGGCCAAGUAGCCUGGGAACAGCCUCUGUGAGGGUCUAUUUCAGGGAAGAACCCAAGGAGCUGAAUCUGAUGUCAACACAAAGCAAUUAAGUAGACUUUAAGUAUUGCUGGGUCAGGAAAAAAACAUUCAUUAAAGGAAUGAAGUCUCAGUGUUUUCCUGAAGAUAAACUCCAGCUAUCCAAAAAUCAUUAAGGCUUAAUGACAGAGUCAAUUUGUUGGUGGUGUUUACAAAUGAAAUAUUAGCAUAUUUCUGUAGCCUGGGAGUUUGGAAUCCUGAUUACCUUUCCAUCUAGGAGAAGUCAAAUUUGUCAAAAGAUUUACAAGAUAGGAGAAAAACACUGCAAAACAGAAACAUGCGGUAUCUGCAUUUGCUCUCUUUAAGUCAUAAGGAGGACAUUCACAAAGAAAGGAUGGACUUCGCAGGCGUUCACUUGAUGCACAAUUAUCAGGCACCCCUUGUUUGCUGGACACUGUGGUGGUACCAGGAAUGUAGAGAUAUCGAGACACUGACUUGCUAAUUACAAUGGAAUGUAGUGAGGCCUGAAGAAGACACAUGGUUAAAGAGGAAAUGGAGAGAAUGACUAAUUCUGACCAAGCUCCUUGUUUCAGUGGAAAAUAUUUUGUGCUGAGCCUUUAGAGAUGAAUGUUUGUCAUGUGAGAAGGAGACCAAGGAAAUCCCAGACAGGAGGACCAGCAUGCACAAAAACUUGGAGUCACCAAAGGGCACGCUGGGUUUAGGAAAAAGAGAGUCAUGCAAGGCAGAAUCGUGGGGAAUGCAGAAGCAGGUGAAAGACUGCUUUAGGGUCAGUUUAUAAAGGAAUUUUAUGGCAAGCUCAAGAAUUUAAGUUUUGUUUUAUAGCCAGCAGAGAAUUGGCAUUUUUUGAAUAGCUACAUGAUUGAGCUAUUUUUCAAAUUUUAAUGUGAAAACAUAUACCCAUGAAAGAGAAUAAUAUUAAAUUACCAUAUACACAUCAACGCACAGUUGUCCAUAUAUUGCAACUUUUACUAUAUUUUAUUUAAGUGAAUGAUUUUAAAGCAAACCUCUCAUUUCAUGUCACCUCCUCAUCUCUGCAUAUGUGUAUGUUCUUGUCUACUCACAAUUCAUUUUUAUAGGUAACCAGAAACAUUGGCAUAAUUUAACUGGAUUCAUACUCAAAUGCCCCUAAUUAUCUCACAAUUAUAUAAAUAAACAAACAUGUAUUUAUUUUCGUUUUAUUUGAAAGGCAGAAAGACAGAAACAGAGAUCUGCUUCCCCUACCUUCUCCACAAUUGCCCAUAACAGCCAGUGUGGGGCCAGGUGGGUGGGGCUAAGCGGAAGCCAAGAGCCUGGAACUCUAUCCUGAUCUCCAACUAGGAUGGCAAUUACUGGGGUUCUUGAACCAUCACCUCCCAGGGUGCACAUUAGCAAGAGGCUAAAUAGAAUCCAAAGGGUGGAGACUUGAACUAUGCACUCCAGUAUGGGAAGCAGUGCCAAAACCAUAAUGUCAAACACCAACUCCAAAUACUUUUUAUAGUAUAUUUGCCCAAAUUAUAACCUCAGUUGAUUCCCAAAGCUGCACCAGAUUGUAACAAUACUUAUAAAUCUUAAUUUUAAGCACUUCAUCCACAUCCCACCUUUUUUAGCCCCAUGUCAUUGACUUACACUAACUCUGCUUUUCAAAUAAAAAACAAAUUUUAAAAAAGUGUGUGCAAAAAUGAAGUUAAAAAAACAAGUUUAUUUAAAAAUAUUUAAAAAGAAAUAUUAUAAACAAUUCUAUUGCCAC
Molecule: non-coding RNA, 3164 nt
Organism: Oryctolagus cuniculus (rabbit)
Lineage: Eukaryota; Metazoa; Chordata; Mammalia; Lagomorpha; Leporidae
Source: RefSeq, a predicted model, not a curated record